Molecule: ribosomal RNA, 699 nt
Filed under: uncultured bacterium
Lineage: Bacteria
Description: bacterial SSU rRNA
Rfam family: Bacterial small subunit ribosomal RNA
Source: RNAcentral
AGGUGUUGGAGAAGGAGAUUGUUUAGUACCGCAGAAACGCGUGAAGUUCGCCGCCUGGGGAGUACGGUAGCAAGAUUAAAACUCAAAGGAAUUGACGGGGACCCGCACAAGCGGUGGAUGAUGUGGAUUAAUUCGAUGCAACGCGAAAAACCUUACCUACCCUUGACAUACCUGGAAUCCUGAAGGGAUUUGGGAGUGCCCGAAAGGGAACCGGGACACAGGUGCUGCAUGGCUGUCGUCAGCUCGUGUCGUGAGAUGUUGGGUUAAGUCCCGCAACGAGCGCAACCCUUGUCGCUAAUUGCCAUCAUUUAGUUGGGCACUUUAGCGAGACUGCCGGUGACAAACCGGAGGAAGGUGGGGAUGACGUCAAGUCCUCAUGGCCCUUAUGGGUAGGGCUUCACACGUCAUACAAUGGUCGGUACAGAGGGUCGCCAACCCGCGAGGGGGAGCCAAUCCCAGAAAGCCGAUCGUAGUCCGGAUUGGAGUCUGCAACUCGACUCCAUGAAGUCGGAAUCGCUAGUAAUCGUGGAUCAGCAUGCCACGGUGAAUACGUUCCCGGGUCUUGUACACACCGCCCGUCACACCAUGGGAGUGGGUUUCACCAGAAGUAGUUAGCCUAACCGCAAGGGGGGCGAUUACCACGGUGGGAUUCAUGACAGGGAUGAAAGUCGGAACGAAGGUAAACCCCAAAGGAGAAGC